GUUUCCCCUCAGCAGCACAUAUACUAAAACUGAUUGAUGCAAAGAAGACUAGCAAUGGCUCCAAGCAAGGAUCACAUGCAAACUCAUGAAAUGUUGCUUUUCUUU
Molecule: small nuclear RNA, 105 nt
Filed under: Dipodomys ordii (Ord's kangaroo rat)
Lineage: Eukaryota; Metazoa; Chordata; Mammalia; Rodentia; Heteromyidae
Source: RNAcentral